GACGAACGCUGGCGGCGUGCCUAAUACAUGCAAGUUGAGCGAUGAAGAUUGGUGCUUGCACCAAUUUGAAGAGCAGCGAACGGGUGAGUAACGCGUGGGGAAUCUGCCUUUGAGCGGGGGACAACAUUUGGAAACGAAUGCUAAUACCGCAUAACAACUUUAAACAUAAGUUUUAAGUUUGAAAGAUGCAAUUGCAUCACUCAAAGAUGAUCCCGCGUUGUAUUAGCUAGUUGGUGAGGUAAAGGCUCACCAAGGCGAUGAUACAUAGCCGACCUGAGAGGGUGAUCGGCCACAUUGGGACUGAGACACGGCCCAAACUCCUACGGGAGGCAGCAGUAGGGAAUCUUCGGCAAUGGACGAAAGUCUGACCGAGCAACGCCGCGUGAGUGAAGAAGGUUUCCGGAUCGUAAAACUCUGUUGGUAGAGAAGAACGUUGGUGAGAGUGGAAAGCUCAUCAAGUGACGGUAACUACCCAGAAAGGGACGGCUAACUACGUG
This 497-nucleotide ribosomal RNA is filed under the name uncultured bacterium. RNAcentral's name for it is "partial 16S ribosomal RNA". It matches the Rfam family "Bacterial small subunit ribosomal RNA", at positions 28 to 507 of the family's 1533-position model. The record is from RNAcentral.